UGUGCCCUGCACUGUGGGCCUUUUCCCAGCCGGCCGGUGGGGGAGCAGCCACUGUGGGUCCCCGAGUCUUGGUGAGACAGUCAAGGAUGGACCUGGGGUGGGGACCGGUGUGCAGCCGUGUCCCUGGGGAAGGAGCAGCACAGGCUGGGACAGAGGACCUCUGAACUGUCCCCUUGGCCACGCUAUGGAAAGCCACGCUCUCCCCCCAGCUCCCGCAGCUGGGACCCGGAGACCACCCAGGGCCGGAGUCCAGAAUGACCACCAUUGCAUCUCGGCCCUCCAGCUCGGGACAGGAGCUGGGGAGCAGAGGCUGGCCCCAACCUGAGGCCCCCUGAACCCAGAGCACGCCCCUCUGCACAGAGGACCUCCUGUUGGAUGCGUGAGCUGCUGCCUGGCCCACUUGCAGCCUGACUGGCCUUUUGGGGCAUCCUCCAGCCCCAACCUGGUGGAGAGGGCGUGAUGGCACUGGCAUCCCAUCAUACAGGAGGAUGGCAGUUCAGAGAGAAGAGGGGGCCUCUGGUCCACGCUGGACCAGAGGGGGUCAGGCCCUCCUCACCCUGAGGGGCGUGCCAGACACUACCCAGGUCCAGUGAGGGUCCUGGGACUGGAAUAGGGAUGAACGAAUGGCCCUGGGUUUCUAGAAGUUUCUUCCAUAUCUCUUCUUGGCCCCAUGGGACGAGGCUCCCUUCACCUGGUCAUCCACCUCCAGCCAUGGGCAGAGCACUCAUCCCUGGACUCCGAUCCCCAGGGCCCUGCCCUCAGCCUGGCAAGGAGGUUGGUGGGCCAGUUCCGGAGACAACUGCUUCUCCAGAGCCCCUUCUUCCUCCCUGUUCUCCAUGUUGCCCAGAGAUGCCCCAGCCUGGGGGAAACCACGAGGAAAGAGUGUGAGCCCAGGACCCCCAGCCCCUACAUGUACCUCACCCCCAGGUCGCCCCACCAGCCUCCGAAAUGCAGACAUUUUUCUUCUCUAGUUUUGCAUCUGUGCUGGAGGGGAGUCCCGUUGCCCGCCUGCCCACUGCCCAGCCUGGCCUGUGCUCGGGCCUUGGGUGGUUGAGGGCUUGCUCGGGCCCGGGCACAGUGGGGUACAGGAUGGUGGCCUGCUACACCUCUCUCAGCAGGAAAGAAACACUCUGCUCUUUGGCCAGUAGACACUGCGCCACUCUCUCUCCGACCCUUGCUUGGCUGUCUCCUCCCUCCCAAAUCGUGGCCAUCGAGUCCCUUCCUGGUCCCCUCACUCCCAGCUCCCGGCCACCCCAGCCUUCUUGUUUCUACUCUCGUGAUGCGGCCCCUUCCCUAAGGCUCCAAUCUGUCCGUCCUCUUUGCUCUUUUCCCAAUCAAUGCCCAUCCUCUUUUUCUAAAGGUCCAUUUUGUCCCCACGAAAACCCUCCAUGCUUCCCCAGUUCUCCCACCUGCGCGCCUGCUCUUGCCCCAUCCGCCUGCCAACCUUCUCUUCCCUGUCCUCCCGGAAGCUGCCAGCUCCUGCCUAGUCCCAUCUGUGUCCCACAACGGCAAGAGGGACAGCGGGGGAGACCAGGCUCGGAGGAACUUCGGGCGUGCUUCGUGGACUGGGGAUAUCGCUGACGGU
Molecule: long non-coding RNA, 1585 nt
Organism: Rhinolophus ferrumequinum (greater horseshoe bat)
Lineage: Eukaryota; Metazoa; Chordata; Mammalia; Chiroptera; Rhinolophidae
Exons: 3
Source: RefSeq, a predicted model, not a curated record